UCUGCCUAUAGAGGCCUGGGGUCCCUUUGGCAGCACUUUUCUCAAGAAAGUAGAGUCGUGGACAACCAACUGCACAGGUUGGGAGGCUUUGAAGAACAAGCUGCCAUGAAUCCUGCAGCUACAAGGAAAUGAACUCUAUUAACUUGAGUGAGCUUAAAACUAGAUCCUUCCCCAGUCAAGCCUCCAGGUGAGAAUUCAAUCCUGGCUGGCACCUGGAUUGCAGCUUACAGAAGACCCAGCUAAGGCCAUGUCUGGACUUUAAAUCCACAGGAACUGCAAGAUGGUAUCAGAAGUGGGACCUGCAGUGGGGCAUCUAGCAACCCCCAGGAGCAUUGAGUGACCAGGCUUGGGACCCACCGGGCGCAGGGUGUCCAUUGUUCUCUCGAAGCAACUGAGAAUUGUGGAUAUUCUUCAUUAUUCCAUCAUCAUCUCAAACCUCUUGGGUAUAGUGUUUGACUACUACUGUGACCAUAAAUUCCAAUAAAACCUAGGAAAAAUGAAACCACUACAUUAACUGAAAGGAAGCUCAAGUGAUAGAAAUAACACAGGACAGGAAGUAAGACAGUUCUCGUCUGAAGUUCUUCUCUGACAGCCCACAAACUAGUUAAUAUAUGUGCCUGUCACAGUCUCCACCAGAAGCUUUAUCUUACUACAGAGUCCAGAUGCAUUAAGGCUGUGUUCGAGCCAUGAUCUUCCUCUGAAGAAGAAAUGAAGAAGAAAUUUAUCUUAUUUUUGGAUAUAGUGUUCUUAGUUGGCAGUUUAAUUAUUAUUUUUACUUCAUCACUUUGUAUACGUCAUCGCACUUUCUCCUGGCCUAUAAGAUCUCUCCUGAGAAAUUUUACGUUCUACUUUACUGGAACUUCAUUAAAUAUUAUUUGCAUCAUUUUU
This 888-nucleotide long non-coding RNA is filed under the name Homo sapiens (human). RNAcentral describes it as "HSALNT0347266". Lineage: Eukaryota; Metazoa; Chordata; Mammalia; Primates; Hominidae. The record is from RNAcentral.